Molecule: ribosomal RNA, 434 nt
Filed under: uncultured Lachnospiraceae bacterium
Lineage: Bacteria; Bacillati; Bacillota; Clostridia; Lachnospirales; Lachnospiraceae
Description: partial 16S ribosomal RNA
Rfam family: Bacterial small subunit ribosomal RNA
Source: RNAcentral
ACGGGAGGCAGCAGUGGGGGAUAUUGCACAAUGGGGGAAACCCUGAUGCAGCGACGCCGCGUGAGUGAUGAAGUAUUUCGGUAUGCAAAGCUCUAUCAGCAGGGAAGAAAAUGACGGUACCUGACUAAGAAGCUCCGGCUAAAUACGUGCCAGCAGCCGCGGUAAUACGUAUGGAGCAAGCGUUAUCCGGAUUUACUGGGUGUAAAGGGAGCGUAGACGGUGAAGCAAGUCUGAAGUGAAAGCCCGGGGCUCAACCCCGGAACUGCUUUGGAAACUGUUUGACUAGAGUGUCGGAGAGGUAAGUGGAAUUCCUAGUGUAGCGGUGAAAUGCGUAGAUAUUAGGAGGAACACCAGUGGCGAAGGCGGCUUACUGGACGAUAACUGACGUUGAGGCUCGAAAGCGUGGGGAGCAAACAGGAUUAGAUACCCUGGUA